GAUGAACGCUGGCGAUAGGCCUAACACAUGCAAGUCGAGGGGCAUCACAUGAAGUAGCAAUACGGAUGGUGGCGACCGGCGCACGGGUGAGUAACACGUAUGCAACCUGCCUUCAACAAGGGGAUAACCCGUUGAAAGACGGACUAAUACCCUAUAACACAGGGGUCCCGCAUGGGAAUAUUUGUUAAAGGACAACCGGUUGAAGAUGGGCAUGCGUUCCAUUAGCUAGUUGGCGGGGUAACGGCCCACCAAGGCAACGAUGGAUAGGGGAACUGAGAGGUUUAUCCCCCACACUGGUACUGAGACACGGACCAGACUCCUACGGGAGGGCAGCAGUGAGGAAUAUUGGUCAAUGGACGCAAGUCUGAACCAGCCACGUCGCGUGAAGGAAGACGGCCCUACGGGUUGUAAACUUCUUUUAUACGGGGAAUAAAGUGCCCCACGCGUGGGGUUUUGCAUGUACCG
RNAcentral lists this ribosomal RNA (465 nucleotides) under uncultured bacterium. RNAcentral describes it as "bacterial SSU rRNA". It matches the Rfam family "Bacterial small subunit ribosomal RNA", at positions 28 to 480 of the family's 1533-position model. The record is from RNAcentral.